RNAcentral lists this ribosomal RNA (548 nucleotides) under uncultured Glomeromycotina. Its description in RNAcentral is "SSU rRNA". It matches the Rfam family "Eukaryotic small subunit ribosomal RNA", at positions 548 to 1098 of the family's 1831-position model. Lineage: Eukaryota; Fungi; Glomeromycota. The record is from RNAcentral.
UUGGAGGGCAAGUCUGGUGCCAGCAGCCGCGGUAAUUCCAGCUCCAAUAGCGUAUAUUAAAGUUGUUGCAGUUAAAAAGCUCGUAGUUGAAUUUCGGGGUCAGCAGGUUGGUCGUGCCAAUGGUAUGCACUGGCCUUGCUGAUUCCUCCCUCUUGAUGAGCCGUAAUGCCAUUAAUUUGGUGUUGCGGGGAAUCAGGACUGUUACUUUGAAAAAAUUAGAGUGUUUAAAGCAGGCAAGCGCUUGAAUACAUUAGCAUGGAAUAAUGAGAUAGGACGUUCGAUCCUAUUUUGUUGGUUUCUAGGAUUGACGUAAUGAUUAAUAGGGAUAGUUGGGGGCAUUAGUAUUCAAUUGUCAGAGGUGAAAUUCUUGGAUUUAUUGAAGACUAACUACUGCGAAAGCAUUUGCCAAAGAUGUUUUCAUUAAUCAAGAACGAAAGUUAGGGGAUCGAAGACGAUCAGAUACUGUCGUAGUCUUAACCAUAAACUAUGCCGACUAGGGAUCGGAUGAUGUUAAUUUUUUAAUGACUCGUUCGGCGCUUACGGGAAAC